This 87-nucleotide transfer RNA is filed under the name SAR324 cluster bacterium. Its description in RNAcentral is "tRNA-Leu". It matches the Rfam family "tRNA". Rfam says of the family: Transfer RNA (tRNA) molecules are approximately 80 nucleotides in length. Their secondary structure includes four short double-helical elements and three loops (D, anti-codon, and T loops). Lineage: Bacteria; Deltaproteobacteria. The record is from RNAcentral.
GCCCAGAUGGUGGAAUUGGUAGACACGCCAUCUUGAGGGGGUGGUGGGGGAAACCCCGUGGAGGUUCAAGUCCUCUUCUGGGCACCA